GAGUUUGAUUAUGGCUCAGGACGAACGCUGGCGGCGCGCCUAACACAUGCAAGUCGAGCGGAGAUAUGUAAGGAGUAAUCCGAGCAUAUUUUAGCGGUGGACGGGAGAGUAACGCGUGAGUGACCUGCCUCUUACAGGGGGAUAACGUACCGAAAGGUACACUAAUACCGCAUAAGACCACAUGGCCGCAUGGCCGAGGGGUCAAAGGAGCAAUCCGGUAAGAGAUGGGCUCGCGUCCGAUUAGAUAGUUGGUGAGGUAACGGCCCACCAAGUCUGCGAUCGGUAGCCGACCUGAGAGGGUGAACGGCCACAUUGGAACUGAGAGACGGUCCAAACUCCUACGGGAGGCAGCAGUGGGGAAUAUUGGGCAAUGGGGGAAACCCUGACCCAGCGACGCCCGUCGUGAAGGAAGAAGGCCUUCGGGUUGUAAACUUCUGUUCUUGGUGAAGAGGGGAAGACG
RNAcentral lists this ribosomal RNA (460 nucleotides) under Clostridiales bacterium canine oral taxon 038. RNAcentral describes it as "bacterial SSU rRNA". It matches the Rfam family "Bacterial small subunit ribosomal RNA", at positions 9 to 458 of the family's 1533-position model. Lineage: Bacteria; Bacillati; Bacillota; Clostridia; Eubacteriales. The record is from RNAcentral.